AUUGAACGCUGGCGGCAGGCUUAACACAUGCAAGUCGAGCGGGGUGAUGGUGCUUGCACUAUCACUUAGCGGCGGACGGGUGAGUAAUGCUUAGGAAUCUGCCUAUUAGUGGGGGACAACAUCUCGAAAGGGAUGCUAAUACCGCAUACGUCCUACGGGAGAAAGCAGGGGAUCACUUGUGACCUUGCGCUAAUAGAUGAGCCUAAGUCGGAUUAGCUAGUUGGUGGGGUAAAGGCCUACCAAGGCGACGAUCUGUAGCGGGUCUGAGAGGAUGAUCCGCCACACUGGGACUGAGACACGGACCAGACUCCUACGGGAGGCAGCAGUGGGGAAUAUUGGACAAUGGGGGGAACCCUGAUCCAGCCAUGCCACGUGUGUGAAGAAGGCCUUAUGGUUGUAAAGCACUUUAAGCGAGGAGGAGGCUCUUUUGGUUAAUACCCAAGAUGAGUGGACGUUACUCGCAGAAUAAGCACCGGCUAACUCUGUGCCAGCAGCCGCCGUAA
RNAcentral lists this ribosomal RNA (503 nucleotides) under uncultured bacterium. RNAcentral's name for it is "partial 16S ribosomal RNA". It matches the Rfam family "Bacterial small subunit ribosomal RNA", at positions 30 to 523 of the family's 1533-position model. The record is from RNAcentral.